Molecule: ribosomal RNA, 460 nt
Filed under: uncultured bacterium
Lineage: Bacteria
Description: partial 16S ribosomal RNA
Rfam family: Bacterial small subunit ribosomal RNA
Source: RNAcentral
CCUACGGGAGGCAGCAGUGAGGAAUAUUGGUCAAUGGGCGCGAGCCUGAACCAGCCAAGUAGCGUGAAGGAUGACUGCCCUACGGGUUGUAAACUUCUUUUAUAAAGGAAUAAAGUGAGGCACGUGUGCCUUUUUGUAUGUACUUUAUGAAUAAGGAUCGGCUAACUCCGUGCCAGCAGCCGCGGUAAUACGGAGGAUCCGAGCGUUAUCCGGAUUUAUUGGGUUUAAAGGGAGCGUAGAUGGGUUGUUAAGUCAGUUGUGAAAGUUUGCGGCUCAACCGUAAAAUUGCAAUUGAUACUGGCAUCCUUGAGUACAGUUGAGGUAGGCGGAAUUCGUGGUGUAGCGGUGAAAUGCGUAGAUAUCAGGAGGAACACCGGUGGCGAAGGCGGCCUGCUGGACUGCGACUGACGUUGAGGCCCGAAAGCGUGGGUAGCAAACAGGAUUAGAUACCCGUGUAGUC